GACGAACGCUGGCGGCGUGCCUAAUACAUGCAAGUAGAACGCUGAAGAGAGGAGCUUGCUCUUCUUGGAUGAGUUGCGAACGGGUGAGUAACGCGUAGGUAACCUGCCUUGUAGCGGGGGAUAACUAUUGGAAACGAUAGCUAAUACCGCAUAACAAUGGAUGACACAUGUCAUUUAUUUGAAAGGGGCAAUUGUUCCACUACAAGAUGGACCUGCGUUGUAUUAGCUAGUAGGUGAGGUAAUGGCUCACCUAGGCGACGAUACAUAGCCGACCUGAGAGGGUGAUCGGCCACACUGGGACUGAGACACGGCCCAGACUCCUACGGGAGGCAGCAGUAGGGAAUCUUCGGCAAUGGGGGCAACCCUGACCGAGCAACGCCGCGUGAGUGAAGAAGGUUUUCGGAUCGUAAAGCUCUGUUGUAAGUCAAGAACGGGUGUGAGAGUGGAAAGUUCACACUGUGACGGUAGCUUACCAGAAAGGGACGGCUAACUACGUGCCAGCAGCCGCGGUAAUACGUAGGUCCCGAGCGUUGUCCGGAUUUAUUGGGCGUAAAGCGAGCGCAGGCGGUUUGAUAAGUCUGAAGUUAAAGGCUGUGGCUCAACCAUAGUUCGCUUUGGAAACUGUCAAACUUGAGUGCAGAAGGGGAGAGUGGAAUUCCAUGUGUAGCGGUGAAAUGCGUAGAUAUAUGGAGGAACACCGGUGGCGAAAGCGGCUCUCUGGUCUGUAACUGACGCUGAGGCUCGAAAGCGUGGGGAGCGAACAGGAUUAGAUACCCUGGUAGUCCACGCCGUAAACGAUGAGUGCUAGGUGUUGGAUCCUUUCCGGGAUUCAGUGCCGCAGCUAACGCAUUAAGCACUCCGCCUGGGGAGUACGACCGCAAGGUUGAAACUCAAAGGAAUUGACGGGGGCCCGCACAAGCGGUGGAGCAUGUGGUUUAAUUCGAAGCAACGCGAAGAACCUUACCAGGUCUUGACAUCCCGAUGCUAUUUCUAGAGAUAGAAAGUUACUUCGGUACAUCGGUGACAGGUGGUGCAUGGUUGUCGUCAGCUCGUGUCGUGAGAUGUUGGGUUAAGUCCCGCAACGAGCGCAACCCCUAUUGUUAGUUGCCAUCAUUCAGUUGGGCACUCUAGCGAGACUGCCGGUAAUAAACCGGAGGAAGGUGGGGAUGACGUCAAAUCAUCAUGCCCCUUAUGACCUGGGCUACACACGUGCUACAAUGGUUGGUACAACGAGUUGCGAGUCGGUGACGGCGAGCUAAUCUCUUAAAGCCAAUCUCAGUUCGGAUUGUAGGCUGCAACUCGCCUACAUGAAGUCGGAAUCGCUAGUAAUCGCGGAUCAGCACGCCGCGGUGAAUACGUUCCCGGGCCU
Molecule: ribosomal RNA, 1369 nt
Filed under: uncultured bacterium
Lineage: Bacteria
Description: bacterial SSU rRNA
Rfam family: Bacterial small subunit ribosomal RNA
Source: RNAcentral